RNAcentral lists this ribosomal RNA (329 nucleotides) under uncultured eukaryote. Its description in RNAcentral is "partial 18S ribosomal RNA". It matches the Rfam family "Eukaryotic small subunit ribosomal RNA", at positions 1470 to 1796 of the family's 1831-position model. The record is from RNAcentral.
CCCUUAGAUGUUCUGGGCCGCACGCGCGCUACACUGACGAUGGCAACGAGUUUUUCCUUCGCCGAAAGGUGUGGGUAAUCUUUUGAAACAUCGUCGUGCUGGGGAUAGAUCAUUGCAAUUUUUGAUCUUGAACGAGGAAUUCCUAGUAAGCGCGAGUCAUCAACUCGCGUUGAUUACGUCCCUGCCCUUUGUACACACCGCCCGUCGCUACUACCGAUUGAAUGGUUUAGUGAGGACUCCUGAUUGGCGCCGCCGCCCCGGCAACGGAGCAGCGGACUGCCGAAAAGUUGUUCAAACUUGAUCAUUUAGAGGAAGUAAAAGUCGUAACA